AUGUUGCAGGGGUCUUCGUUGGCAGCACGAAUACUCUUACCUGAUCACUGUCUUGAGAUGCAGAAGAGAACCAGAUUCUACAAGUCCUCAUUUCCUUCAGCUCUGCUUCCUUCAAAUGUUCCGGAAGAAUGGCAUCAGAAAAGGGAUCUGAGGCAGCAACAGACCCUGUUUGGGAGGCAGAUGAAGGCAGAAGAGAGAUCAAUUUGCCUCUGGUUACUUGAAUCACUAUGACUGCCUAGCACUGGGCUUAUGUCAUAUUCACAGAUCACCCCUGAAACAGGCUUCCGCACUACUGGGAAGCUCCUGAGUUAGAUGCUAAUUCCCAAAUAUGACUGAACAUGUUGCAGAAGGAACAUUAGAUCAUCUGCAGUGCACCAUCUGGAGGCCCUGUGGAAUGCAAAGUCUUCUUUGAGACCUGGUGACCAGGUAAGCAGACUCCUUGCAGGAACCCUGUCCCAAAGGCAGCCUCCUCUAGCAUCAUUUCAGGGGCAACACCCCAUUUUAUUCAUAGGGGACAUUUUACACACCCUCCUUUUUGUAUGUGUUGGUUUGGUUUGUUCUAUUUCAGUGAUCUUGUAAUGAGCAUGCAUUUCUAAUUGUUCUAGAUCACACUUUCUCUAAAAUCUCAGCCAAGACAAGCAGGACUUCCAGAGGACAAGAAGGCAUUUCCUCUUCUGAAAAAUGAAGGUGUGGUGGACUAUGGAAUUUCUCCAUAAAUUCCUCCAGGAAGGCCAGAGCAGAGCUGUUCAUCAGCUUUGAGGAGUUUUAAAGGCACAGGUUGCUUGCUCCACACGCUGUCCCCUGCUUCCCAAAUAAAAAGCAAUGCACACCUUGGUACAGGGGAAACCUGAGGGCAUGUGGGAUCAGUGUUGGAAAUCAGUAGGGAACAGGCUUGAUCUUGACAGUAAGGAUGUGGGGGAGUAUCCUUAACUAAUUCUGAGUCACCAGGAGACCGAUUUUCCAGCAGGAGGAGGAUCAAAAGAGGUAAGAACACCCAGUUCAAGCUGCUUCAACUUGGGAAUAUUUAAGAGGGCAGUCGGAUGGAUUUUGCUGCAUAGCAUCGUUCUCUUUGUGAACAUGCACCCUUCAGAUCAGUGUCUUCAAGGAGCUGCCUUGCAUGGAUCUGAUCAAGGGAUAAAUAUACUUGUAUUUAACAUAAAAAUCUGAGAACUUUCAUCUUCAACUACUCACAUUUAAAUCUCUUGCUAUUUCUCACGGGGCUGGGAGAACAAGAGUCAAAUUCACAUAGUUACCCACUUCAGAGAAAAUCAUGGCUCAUUUUUAGGUUAUACAGUUCCUGCCCAGGUGGUGACGCUAAGAUGGAACUUACUGAGGGUACCGUCUUGUCUUCAC
Molecule: long non-coding RNA, 1353 nt
Filed under: Zalophus californianus (California sea lion)
Lineage: Eukaryota; Metazoa; Chordata; Mammalia; Carnivora; Otariidae
Description: lncRNA (ENSZCAG00015020732.1)
Source: RNAcentral